Molecule: ribosomal RNA, 913 nt
Filed under: uncultured archaeon
Lineage: Archaea
Description: bacterial SSU rRNA
Rfam family: Archaeal small subunit ribosomal RNA
Source: RNAcentral
UUCCGGUUGAUCCUGCCGGACCUGACUGCUAUCGGAUUGAUACUAAGCCAUGCGAGUCUUUGUAGUAAUACAAGGCAGACGGCUCAGUAACGCGUAGUCAACCUACCCUAUGGACGGGAAUAAUCUCGGGAAACUGAGCAUAAUACCCGGCGUACCACCAUUCCUGGAAUGGUUGGUGGUUAAAAUGAUUCGUCGCCGUAGGAUGGGACUGCGACCUAUCAGCUUGUUGGUGGGGUAAAGGCCCACCAAGGCGAUUACAGGUACGGGCUCUGAGAGGAGAAGCCUGGAGAUGGGUACUGAGACACGGACCCAGGCCCUAUGGGGCGCAGCAGGCGAGAAAACUUUGCAAUAUGCGAAAGCACGACAAGGUUAAUCCGAGUGAUUUCUGCUAAAGGAAUCUUUUGCCAGUUCUAAAAAUACUAGUGAAUAAGGGGUGGGCAAGUUCUGGUGUCAGCCGCCGCGGUAAAACCAGCACCUCAAGUGGUCAGGAGGAUUAUUGGGCCUAAAGCAUCCGUAGCCUGUUCUAUAAGUUUGCGGUUAAAUCUAUACGCUCAACGUAUAGGCUGCCGUAAAUACUGUAGAACUAGGGAGUGGGAGAGGUAGACGGUACUCGAUAGGAAGGGGUAAAAUCCUUUGAUCUAUUGAUGACCACCUGUGGCGAAGGCGGUCUACCAGAACACGUUCGACGGUGAGGGAUGAAAGCUGGGGGAGCAAACCGGAUUAGAUACCCGGGUAGUCCCAGCUGUAAACGAUGCAGACUCGAUGAUGCAAUGGCAUAGAGCUAUUGCAGUAUCGCAGGGAAGCCGUUAAGUCUGCCGCCUGGAAGUACGUACGCAAGUAUGAAACUUAAAGGAAUUGGCGGGGGAGCACCACAAGGGGUGAAGCCUGCGGUUCAAAUUGGAGUCAACGCCGG